RNAcentral lists this transfer RNA (66 nucleotides) under Massicus raddei. Its description in RNAcentral is "tRNA-Pro". The record is from RNAcentral. Lineage: Eukaryota; Metazoa; Arthropoda; Insecta; Coleoptera; Cerambycidae.
CAAGGAAUAGUUUAAAUUAAAAUUUUAAUUUUGGAGAUUAGAGAUAGGGGUUUCCCUUUUCCCUGA